Long non-coding RNA from Coturnix japonica (Japanese quail), 2760 nucleotides. RefSeq lists it as uncharacterized. The record is from RefSeq and is a predicted model, not a curated record. Lineage: Eukaryota; Metazoa; Chordata; Aves; Galliformes; Phasianidae.
AGAGAACCAUAAGUUCAUUAUGUUCUCCCAGAUGCUCUCCUAAAUGCUUUGAGUGCUCUACUGUUGAAAAAGAGACGACAGGCAUCAAUCGAAGCAUCAACAUUAAAUACUUUAAAACAGGUGGUAUGAAUACCCAUUAGAGAGACUAUACAGCCCACAGGUGCUCCUGAAAAGGAGCUAAAAGCAAUUACAAGCUUUUGUAGUUGAUAAGAGGUUCUGUUGAUUUCAAGAUCAUUUUCCCUGCUUUUUCUGUUUUGUUUAGAGUAAAGCACUAAAAAUAUACUAAGCAUAUAAGCAUGCUGUCUGAACUUCGUUAGCUGUGCAACUUGUCUUCAAGAAUUCCAACAGGCUAAAGAGGCUUGGAUAAGCAUCCUAAUUUCAGCAGCUUAUAGAUCUGCAGUGCUGACAGUUUUGAGGAUUGGAGAGAUGAAGACGUACUUAUUUCGGUCAUUUUGUUGCUGGUUGGAUCAUCAGCAGUUUGCUAAAAUUGGGUCUAGAUUCCUGGGAAUGAAGGAAGAAGAAACCAGAAAGUUCCCAGUGAAGCAAAUUCAGAAACAUCUGCUGGACUCAUUGGAUUGCAAUCUUCAUUAAACUCAUCAGCAAGUGUCACUGCACUCAGUGCCAGCAAUUAUAAAUUUCCAAGGCUCUGAGAACAACUGGGGAAGGUUUCCUAAAAUACUGACAUAUCAGUGACUUUGGGCAGCAGAAGUCUUUGCACACUGAAUAGUGGUGCAAGUUUGUCUUAACCAGCUGCAAAGGAAGAGAAGCACAUAAACUAGAAACAGGAGCACUUAGCACCACAGAGCUUACAUCUAGCUCAUUUAGGGUCAAGCUAUUCCAGGAAGCAUAGAUUAUGUGCUUGUACAAGAUGUGCUUCUCCAAUACCUAAGCACUUUUGAAUCUGCAAUGUAGUCAUCAAAACCUACACGGAUGUGGGAACAAAGUCCUACUAAUGUUGUUUUAUGUGUCAUACUGUUUACUGAAGAAUGUUAAAAGAGUAUCCCCAAGAUCAGAACCAAGAACUGAGGUAUGAUUAGGCUGCUCCUCUGGUAAAGCACUCAAGUCCAGAAAAGAUUUCUUCAGAAAAAUUCUUCAGAUUUUGACCAUGAUGAAAUAGGACCAUGUUUGGGUAUGAAGCAGGGAUGGUAUGAGAAAGAAUGAUUAUUUUUGCAAAUCCUUUGGCAAAGUUCUUGGUAAUCGCUUCUCGCUACUUUUUUACCCUUGGACAAUGCAGCAACAAAAAAAUCUCAUCUCCCUCAGCUCCUCUUAUCCUUGCUCCAAUAAAUAAAUAAUGUUAUGAGCACCACGUAGUUAAGUAGAAUGUUUUUCUUGUGCUUUGAUCCUAAUCUCUAGAGAAAUAUGUUUACUUUAAGUUUGCUGGAAGCUAGAUUUUUGUUGUUUUGAAGGUCAGCUAAGAAAUCUCUGGAGGUCUCGUGCUAUUCACUCUCAUGGAAUGAAAAGCUGACUCCAGCAUUCCAGCUGCCCUCGCGUGUCUCAGGCAUAGGGAAAGACUGUGAUUUCUUCAUUCCUUGGGAAAAAGAUGAUUUUGUUAUCUGAAUUGGGGCAGCUGAAGAGCUGAAGUACAGCUGAUUCUUGCAUAGAUAGUAGGCAGAGAUAUGUGAUUUCAGUCCAACAUACUGUUGGGAACCUGCUUUAGCAGGGGAGUUGGACUAGAUGGUGUACAGAGGUCCCUUCCAACCCCUACAGUUCAGUGAUUCUGUGAUUUGUAGCAUUAGGGUAGUCCUAGAGACAUACAGGAUGUUGCUGAUGAUGUGAAGAUCUUGCAGCUGAUGUCCCUGGGGUCAGAUCUGAGAAUGCAGCAGUCUGAUGGUAUUAUAAAGCAGAUGAAAAUAAAGCAACAGAGCUGGCUCAUCUGCCCAGUGUUCCAACACAUUAAGAUAAAAUUUAGCUACAGAAAAUUAGGAGAGGGACCUUCUGUAGACUCAGUUUUCUAUAAGAUAAAGGGAUACUGGAAGUCUCUUCUAGCAAAGAAAAACAUAUUAAAAUUGUUGCCAUGUCCAUGAAAACCAGUUAAAUGUAGGAUUGUUAGGAAAGGAAUUGUUUUCUCAUUGGAGCUAAAAAGCACAGCCAUAAUGUUAAUAUGUCUUAAUAAUUUAUCUUAAUAUUCUCCAUAAAUACAUAUUAAUAUACUUUAGAUUAUAGAAACAAAAAGAACAGAAAUGUUGAUCAUACACUUAUGUACAUCUAUUCAUAUGUAUAAAGAUUAUUUUAUUUUUUUUUUGUGGAAAUUCUAAUGCACUAUUUCCUGAUCUAAAUAAGCCUGCCAUUCAACCGCAUCAUUUUUUCUUUAAGAGCAUACAAGGGCUCUGAGACAGUCAUAAAGAAGGAAAAAUGAUGGCAAAAUAAAUCACUGUCACAACACUGAAGGAUAAGAAAAACAAAUCAAUCCCUUAUGAGGGUUACACCCCUGCAAGCCAAUUCAGGCACUAUUUUCAGUUAAGUACAUAUUUUCAUCUUGGAACAUGUUUUUGCUUACUAGCAUGUAUUUUCUGAUUUCAUUUUCCCCAUUUUUGCUGUUUUUCUGUUUGUUUUUGUUUGUUUGAAAGCUUCUGGAUAAUUCAUCACAUAUGUUUGCAAAAUACAUUACUGACUCAAGGCUACAACUGCAUUAUAAAGCCAACAACAUCAUUAAAAGGAAAAGUUUCUAACAAGACCACUGUUUUAUAAACGAAAGUUUCUAACAAUGUUCUCCUAGACCUAAUGGAAGUCCCAAUCCCUCAGAAAUACAACUACAAUAAA